CAACAACUCUCAUCCAUUCUCUUUGAGUGACACAAACAUGAUGGGGUGCUCUAUGCAUGCCUUUGUUUGCAACUAUGUUAUUCUUGCUUAUGGUUCUCUUUGCUAAUGAAAUGAAGCCGGUGGAGGCAAGAAUUUGCCAGUCGGCGAGCCACUGGUUCAAAGGAUUGUGUGUUAGAAGCAACAACUGUGCUUCAAAUGUGAUUCAUAUAUAUUUGGAAUACACUAACUCUCCCGGUAGCCUUUCUCUAGGGAAGUACAUCGGUCGGUUCGAUUUAUCGUUUUUCAAUUUUUAAAUAUGCUAUAUCCAAUAACCAAAUCGACAAGAUAUGUUUGAUUUUUGAUU
Molecule: long non-coding RNA, 343 nt
Organism: Solanum tuberosum (potato)
Lineage: Eukaryota; Viridiplantae; Streptophyta; Magnoliopsida; Solanales; Solanaceae
Exons: 2
Source: RefSeq, a predicted model, not a curated record